RNAcentral lists this ribosomal RNA (375 nucleotides) under uncultured bacterium. RNAcentral's name for it is "bacterial SSU rRNA". It matches the Rfam family "Bacterial small subunit ribosomal RNA", at positions 28 to 404 of the family's 1533-position model. The record is from RNAcentral.
GACGAACGCUGGCGGCGUGCUUAACACAUGCAAGUCGAGCGGUAAGGCCCUUUCGGGGGUACGCGAGCGGCGAACGGGUGAGUAACACGUGGGUGACCUGCCCUCAGCUCUGGGAUAAGCCCGGGAAACUGGGUCUAAUACCGGAUAUGACUCCAUGACGCAUGUUGUGGGGUGGAAAGCCUUGUGCGGCUGAGGAUGGGCCCGCGGCCUAUCAGCUUGUUGGUGGGGUGAUGGCCUACCAAGGCGACGACGGGUAGCCGGCCUGAGAGGGCGACCGGCCACACUGGGACUGAGACACGGCCCAGACUCCUACGGGAGGCAGCAGUGGGGAAUCUUGCGCAAUGGGCGAAAGCCUGACGCAGCGACGCCGCGUGA